UGCGUAGGCGGUUUGGCAAGUCUUGUGUGAAAUCUUUGGGCUCAACCCAAAGCCUGCACGGGAAACUGCCGGGCUUGAGUAUGGGAGAGGUGAGUGGAAUUUCCGGUGUAGCGGUGAAAUGCGUAGAUAUCGGAAGGAACACCUGUGGCGAAAGCGGCUCACUGGACCAUAACUGACGCUGAGGCACGAAAGCUAGGGGAGCAAACA
RNAcentral lists this ribosomal RNA (207 nucleotides) under uncultured bacterium. RNAcentral describes it as "partial 16S ribosomal RNA". It matches the Rfam family "Bacterial small subunit ribosomal RNA", at positions 568 to 774 of the family's 1533-position model. The record is from RNAcentral.